AUGUACUGGUCCAGCACCCUGGUCUCUCCAUGAAUCCAAUAACAUAUAGUUUCAACAGCACAUUGCUUCAGCCUGGCUUUAGAGAUGCAGUUGCCCUCUUCUGGGGUAUAGCCUUUGUUAAUGAAGAGCUGAUUGCUACUGAUGAGGAUGGAGUGGGUUCAGUGUCAACAGAGAUACUUUUGGAAAAAGACUCAGAAUCGUUCACAUUCAAAAAUGGAUGGGCUUUCCCUAGAAGGGUAUAUUUCAAUGGAGAAAACUGUGAGAUGCCCUUACCAGACACUUUCCCAAUGUUACCAAAUGGCACCUCCAAAACACAACCACCAACACAUUGGCUCUUCCUUCUUCUCAUCUUUUUUAUUUCCCAAACCCUACUUUUACAUGCCCCUUUGAAUUUGAAAUCUGAUCAACUCACCCCACAAGCUUGCUUUGAGUGUUUUCCCCACAAUUUUUAAGCCAUUUUAUUCCCCUGUGGUCUUGAUGGUUCUUAUUGAGUACUAAUUAUUAACUUUCUAAAUACAAUGUUUGCACAGGAUAUACAUGAAUUGCCAAAAAAAAAAAAAUCUUUUUUUUUGGGCAGAUGUACAAUAAUUAUGUAACUGUUUGAUGCGAAUUGAUGUUGAUAAUUACAAUGUUGAUCAUACUUAUUUGUCA
Molecule: non-coding RNA, 651 nt
Organism: Prunus avium (sweet cherry)
Lineage: Eukaryota; Viridiplantae; Streptophyta; Magnoliopsida; Rosales; Rosaceae
Source: RefSeq, a predicted model, not a curated record